UACGGGGGGGGCAAGCGUUGUUCGGAAUUACUGGGCGUAAAGGGCUCGUAGGCGGCCAACUAAGUCAGACGUGAAAUCCCUCGGCUUAACCGGGGAACUGCGUCUGAUACUGGAUGGCUUGAGGUUGGGAGAGGGAUGCGGAAUUCCAGGUGUAGCGGUGAAAUGCGUAGAUAUCUGGAGGAACACCGGUGGCGAAGGCGGCAUCCUGGACCAAUUCUGACGCUCAGGAGCGAAAGCCAGGGGAGCAAACGGG
Molecule: ribosomal RNA, 253 nt
Filed under: uncultured bacterium
Lineage: Bacteria
Description: partial 16S ribosomal RNA
Rfam family: Bacterial small subunit ribosomal RNA
Source: RNAcentral